Molecule: ribosomal RNA, 208 nt
Filed under: uncultured bacterium
Lineage: Bacteria
Description: partial 16S ribosomal RNA
Rfam family: Bacterial small subunit ribosomal RNA
Source: RNAcentral
UCGGAUUGUAGUCUGNAACCCGACUACAUGAAGCUGGAAUCGCUAGUAAUCGCGAAUCAGCAUGUCGCGGUGAAUACGUUCCCGGGUCUUGUACACACCGCCCGUCACACCAUGGGAGUUGGAAAUGCCCGAAGUCAGUGACCCAACCGAAAGGAGGGAGCUGCCGAAGGCAGGUUCGAUAACUGGGGUGAAGUCGUAACAAGGUACC